GACGAACGCUGGCGGCGUGCUUAACACAUGCAAGUCGAACGGAAAGGCCCCCUUGUGGGGUACUCGAGUGGCGAACGGGUGAGUAACACGUGAGUAACCUACCCUUGACUUUGGGAUAACUUCAGGAAACUGGGGCUAAUACCGGAUCGGAGCUCCUGCUGCAUGGUGGGGGUUGGGAGGUUUCGGCGGUUGGGGAUGGACUGGCGGCUUAUCAGCUUGUUGGUGGGGUAGUGGCUCACCAAGGCUUUGACGGGUAGCCGGCCUGAGAGGGGGACCGGCCACAUUGGGACUGAGAUACGGCACAGACUCGUACGGGAGGCAGCAGUGGAGAAUAGUGCACAAUGGGCGGAAGCCUGAUGCAGCAACGCCGCGUGCGGGAUGACGGCCUUCGGGUUGGAAACCGCUUUCGCCUGUGACGAAGCGUGAGUGACGGUAAUGGGUAAAGAAGCACCGGCUAACUACGUG
This 465-nucleotide ribosomal RNA is filed under the name uncultured bacterium. RNAcentral describes it as "partial 16S ribosomal RNA". It matches the Rfam family "Bacterial small subunit ribosomal RNA", at positions 28 to 507 of the family's 1533-position model. The record is from RNAcentral.